This 588-nucleotide ribosomal RNA is filed under the name uncultured bacterium. RNAcentral describes it as "bacterial SSU rRNA". It matches the Rfam family "Bacterial small subunit ribosomal RNA", at positions 338 to 944 of the family's 1533-position model. The record is from RNAcentral.
CCUACGGGAGGCAGCAGUGGGGAAUAUUGGACAAUGGGCGAAAGCCUGAUCCAGCAAUGCCGCGUGAGUGAUGAAGGCCUUCGGGUCGUAAAGCUCUUUUACCAGGGAUGAUAAUGACAGUACCUGGAGAAUAAGCUCCGGCUAACUCCGUGCCAGCAGCCGCGGUAAUACGGAGGGAGCUAGCGUUGUUCGGAAUUACUGGGCGUAAAGAGUACGUAGGCGGUUAUUCAAGUCAGAGGUGAAAGCCCGGGGCUCAACCCCGGAACUGCCUUUGAAACUAGAUAACUAGAGUCUUGGAGAGGUUAGUGGAAUUCCGAGUGUAGAGGUGAAAUUCGUAGAUAUUCGGAAGAACACCAGUGGCGAAGGCGACUAACUGGACAAGUACUGACGCUGAGGUACGAAAGCGUGGGGAGCAAACAGGAUUAGAUACCCUGGUAGUCCACGCCGUAAACGAUGAUAACUAGUUGUUCGGUCACUUGGUGACUGAGUGACGCAGCUAACGCAUUAAGUUAUCCGCCUGGGGAUACGGUCGCAAGNUUAAAACUCAAAUGAUGAGNGUGUAGAGUUGCGAGACGACACGAGGAGAGG